This 402-nucleotide ribosomal RNA is filed under the name uncultured bacterium. RNAcentral describes it as "bacterial SSU rRNA". It matches the Rfam family "Bacterial small subunit ribosomal RNA", at positions 355 to 774 of the family's 1533-position model. The record is from RNAcentral.
UGGGGAAUCUUGCACAAUGGGGGAAACCCUGAUGCAGCGACGCCGCGUGAACGAUGAAGCCCUUCGGGGUGUAAAGUUCUUUCGACAGGAACGAUAAUGACGGUACCUGGAGAAGAAGCUGCGGCUAACUACGUGCCAGCAGCCGCGGUAAUACGUAGGCAGCGAGCGUUGUUCGGAGUUACUGGGCGUAAAGAGUGCGUAGGCGGCGAGCCAAGUUUGGUGUGAAAUCUCCCGGCUUAACCGGGAGGGUGCGCCGAAAACUGGUUGGGUGGAGUAUGGGAGAGGAAAGCGGAAUUCCGGGUGUAGCGGGGAAAUGCGUAGAUAUCAGGAGGAACACCUGCGGUGUAGACAGCUUUCUGGACCAAAACUGACGCUGAGGCACGAAAGCGUGGGUAGCAAACA